UGGGGAAUCUUCCGCAAUGGGCGCAAGCCUGACGGAGCAACGCCGCGUGAGUGAAGAAGGCCUUCGGGUCGUAAAGCUCUGUCUUCAGGGAAGAACAACUAGGGUGUGAAUAAUGCCUUAGCCUGACGGUACCUGAGGAGGAAGCUCCGGCUAACUACGUGCCAGCAGCCGCGGUAAUACGUAGGGAGCGGGCGUUGUCCGGAAUUACUGGGCGUAAAGGGCGUGUAGGCGGGGAUUUAAGUAAGGUGUGAAAACUCCAGGCUCAACUUGGAGAUUGCACUUUAAACCGGAUCUCUUGAGGGCAGGAGAGGAAAGUGGAAUUCCUAGUGUAGCGGUGAAAUGCGUAGAUAUUAGGAGGAACACCAGUGGCGAAGGCGACUUUCUGGACUGUACCUGACGCUGAGUCGCGAAAGCGUGGGUAGCGAACAG
RNAcentral lists this ribosomal RNA (429 nucleotides) under uncultured bacterium. RNAcentral describes it as "bacterial SSU rRNA". It matches the Rfam family "Bacterial small subunit ribosomal RNA", at positions 355 to 775 of the family's 1533-position model. The record is from RNAcentral.